Molecule: ribosomal RNA, 380 nt
Filed under: uncultured bacterium
Lineage: Bacteria
Description: bacterial SSU rRNA
Rfam family: Bacterial small subunit ribosomal RNA
Source: RNAcentral
AUUGAACGCUGGCGGCAUGCCUUACACAUGCAAGUCGAACGACAGCACGGGAGCAAUCCUGGUGGCGAGUGGCGAACGGGUGAGUAAUAUAUCGGAACGUGCCCAGUCGUGGGGAUAACGUAGCGAAAGCUACGCUAAUACCGCAUACGAUCUAUGGAUGAAAGCGGGGGACCGGCAAGACCUCGCGCGAUUGGAGCGGCCGAUAUCAGAUUAGGUAGUUGGUGAGGUAAAGGCUCACCAAGCCGACGAUCUGUAGCUGGUCUGAGAGGACGACCAGCCACACUGGGACUGAGACACGGCCCAGACUCCUACGGGAGGCAGCAGUGGGGAAUUUUGGACAAUGGGCGCAAGCCUGAUCCAGCAAUGCCGCGUGCAGGAUG